This 222-nucleotide RNase P RNA is filed under the name Citrobacter freundii. RNAcentral describes it as "partial RNase P RNA component class A". It matches the Rfam family "Bacterial RNase P class A", at positions 136 to 367 of the family's 367-position model. From Rfam's summary of the family: Ribonuclease P (RNase P) is a ubiquitous endoribonuclease, found in archaea, bacteria and eukarya as well as chloroplasts and mitochondria. The record is from RNAcentral. Lineage: Bacteria; Pseudomonadati; Pseudomonadota; Gammaproteobacteria; Enterobacterales; Enterobacteriaceae.
CGUAAGUGGGAUCAGGUAAGGGUGAAAGGGUGCGGUAAGAGCGCACCGCGCGGCUGGUAACAGUCCGUGGCACGGUAAACUCCACCCGGAGCAAGGCCAAAUAGGGGUUCACAAGGUACGGCCCGUACUGAACCCGGGUAGGCUGCUUGAGCCAGUGAGCGAUUGCUGGCCUAGAUGAAUGACUGUCCACGACAGAACCCGGCUUAUCGGUCAGCUUCACUC